GGGCCUAUUGGAGAUGCGAUAACGCUCAUUUGAAAACUUCUUCUCCAAUAGAUUAAGGUUGUUCUUUCCUACAAAACAUUAAUGGACAUAUACCCGAGGGAAUAACAAGAUUGAAAUAUGGGUUUUGUUUUCCGUACAUUUUAUUUUUUAUUUUCUUUUAUGCUAAUCAAGAUGAUAUAUGGUUUAAGAUUAUUUAGCAUAAAUUUUGUCUAUUGUGUUUUAUGUUGUUGUUGCAAUUCAAGGCAAAGAUAACUUGUAACAAAAGAUAAAUGGAUAAAUAUUAGUACUCACAAGUUGGACUUUUUAUGCAAAGUUAUCUUUGUCUUGAUUCAUCCCCAGUGUGAACUUAUCUCUUGACUUUCCCCAAUUUAAUUCAAAAUUUUCUGCAGGG
RNAcentral lists this long non-coding RNA (391 nucleotides) under Sorghum bicolor (sorghum). RNAcentral's name for it is "long non-coding RNA (SBIC_LNC011856)". Lineage: Eukaryota; Viridiplantae; Streptophyta; Magnoliopsida; Poales; Poaceae. The record is from RNAcentral.